This 800-nucleotide ribosomal RNA is filed under the name uncultured bacterium. Its description in RNAcentral is "bacterial SSU rRNA". It matches the Rfam family "Bacterial small subunit ribosomal RNA", at positions 8 to 797 of the family's 1533-position model. The record is from RNAcentral.
AGAGUUUGAUCAUGGCUCAGAUUGAACGCUGGCGGCAGGCCUAACACAUGCAAGUCGAGCGGCAGCGGAAAGUAGCUUGCUACUUUGCCGGCGAGCGGCGGACGGGUGAGUAAUGUCUGGGAAACUGCCUGAUGGAGGGGGAUAACUACUGGAAACGGUAGCUAAUACCGCAUAACGUCGCAAGACCAAAGAGGGGGACCUUCGGGCCUCUUGCCAUCAGAUGUGCCCAGAUGGGAUUAGCUAGUAGGUGGGGUAAUGGCUCACCUAGGCGACGAUCCCUAGCUGGUCUGAGAGGAUGACCAGCCACACUGGAACUGAGACACGGUCCAGACUCCUACGGGAGGCAGCAGUGGGGAAUAUUGCACAAUGGGCGCAAGCCUGAUGCAGCCAUGCCGCGUGUAUGAAGAAGGCCUUCGGGUUGUAAAGUACUUUCAGCGGGGAGGAAGGUGCUGAGGUUAAUAACCUCAGCAAUUGACGUUACCCGCAGAAGAAGCACCGGCUAACUCCGUGCCAGCAGCCGCGGUAAUACGGAAGGUGCAAGCGUUAAUCGGAAUUACUGGGCGUAAAGCGCACGCAGGCGGUCUGUCAAGUCGGAUGUGAAAUCCCCGGGCUCAACCUGGGAACUGCAUUCGAAACUGGCAGGCUAGAGUCUUGUAGAGGGGGGUAGAAUUCCAGGUGUAGCGGUGAAAUGCGUAGAGAUCUGGAGGAAUACCGGUGGCGAAGGCGGCCCCCUGGACAAAGACUGACGCUCAGGUGCGAAAGCGUGGGGAGCAAACAGGAUUAGAUACCCUGGUAGUCCA